Molecule: non-coding RNA, 220 nt
Filed under: Bradyrhizobium sp.
Lineage: Bacteria; Pseudomonadati; Pseudomonadota; Alphaproteobacteria; Hyphomicrobiales; Nitrobacteraceae
Source: RNAcentral
AAAUGGUGGGCGCGCGUUGGUUCCUGUCCUACGACAGGCGAAGAGGGAAUGCGAUAGGGCGCGAAUCGGCAAGAUUCGGGUUCAAAAUGCAGCCGCCCCCGCGACCGUGACCGGAGAGAUGCCCGAAGCCACUGAUCCCCAUGGGGAUCGGGAAGGCGGGGAUCGAAGGGACAAACCCUGCUCCGCAAGCCGGGAGACCUGCCAGCGCGGAGUUUGAGAC